This 364-nucleotide long non-coding RNA is filed under the name Hordeum vulgare. Its description in RNAcentral is "long non-coding RNA (HVUL_LNC015315)". The record is from RNAcentral. Lineage: Eukaryota; Viridiplantae; Streptophyta; Magnoliopsida; Poales; Poaceae.
UAGAUGUUGGCUUUUCGCCACAGGAUCGAUCACAUCAAAUCACACAAACACAUGCGAUAAACACUUUUAGCGAGGGGUGCGUCUCGCACCCUCUAAUUCCUCCCUUUAUUUUCUUGUUUUCUCAUCGGUACGACUCGAUACGUUACAAAGCUAUAACCUGUCCAUGUAUUUAUACACAUCCUGCCAAGCUCUCACGGUAAAAGCUAUCCUAAUCUGACUCUAUAUUCUAAUCGGACUCAUACUAGUAUUAGGAAAGUACAAACCGACUAAACCUAAAUUUCCUAAACUAAUCAUCCGGCAGCGUUGAUCACACUACUAAUCCUAACCGGACUCAAAGCUAGCCCACGUUUGGAUUAUCCUACAU